UUCUGUGCAUACUGAAUGGAUGCAGUUCUAUCUCUACAGCUCAAUUGUCCAGAAAAAUGUUUACUUGACUGAUUAGCCUUUUGCUUGUGAAUGCCCAACAGCACACUGAGAUUCAACACAGGCUUUUGCUAUUGGAAGUUACUUGGCAUUUUUUUUUCUUUUUCACAAGCUUCCCUACACCAAUACACUCAGCUCUUCCCCCAGCAUCAAAACCUCAGUUACAUGGUGUGACUGUUCCCAGGACAAAUGAUGUAACUUCCUUUUGCUCACUGAGGAUGACACAACGCUCCCAAACAAAAGGCAAGUGCUGAGAAGUGCCUGCAGGGGCUGUAGAUGGCUAAAGAUAUUUAAUAUAUUUAAGGGAUUUUUUUUUUUUUUCCUUCCUAAGGCUUCUGUAUGUCUUCAUUCCUAAGGAAAAUAUACAUUUGAUCAGUGCACUGCAUGAACAUUUGGCUGGGGCCAGAGUUUAAUCAAAGUUUUCUCCCCAUAUACUCCCAGCUUAAUUGGGCAUGCACAAUCACAGCAUUUGAACAGUGGGGAGUUUUCUUACUAGAUUGUUUGUUUCUAUAGGCUCAACACAAAGGAUCUUGAAAACUGCCCUCCUGCUAGGAGCAGCCAUGUCCACUGUGAGUGUACCAUGUGCCAUUUCUGAACAUCAGAAAUUAGUUCCAGCGAACCUUUGUGGAGCAGGAGUGCUGUGAAUCAUCAGUAUGCAGGAGCACAGAGAGAAGUUCACAGGUUUCUAUCUGAUCACCAUCAAUUGUAUCAGUAUGAGCCAACUGAUCAAGAAGAUCAUCCAGCUGACUUGUCUCUCUGCAGUACCCAUCAAUGAAGUACUUGCUGUCUUCUGUCCUGCUUAAAAGAUGCUGGAAUUCUCAAUACCAACACAUGUAUGACAGCUUACAGUGAGUGCUUGCAGCUCAGCAGACAUCUGCUUUCUGGAGCUGCCCAUGUGGAUUGCAUACUGCACAUAAAUGCUAACAGGAAAGGACUGCGUACUGCACACAAAUGCUAACAGGAAAGGACAAGUCCAAAUGUUUUGUUUCUUUCCUACAUCAAACGUUGAAUCUGAAAAAUUGAUAGAUAUUCUGUUCAUGGGGGACUGACUUAGUGAGCAGAAAAACAAGUGAGAGAAACCACACACUGUGAAUACAGGGGGGACAUUAGGGUCAACAAGAAGUUUCUGUGAUUCCAGUGUUGUUAUUCAGACUCUUGGGCUAGAACAUUGUGCUGCUAAUAAAUAUUUAUACCUGCAGUCUGUGCCCUGUGUAACAGAAAGUGCUGCCUGGUUGGCACUCUGCCUCAAGCUCUACUAUGCCAGGUAUUCCUGAGAAAUCUGGCUAUAGAAAGCUUCUGGGAAGGGAACUCUGACAUGCACAGGUUGGUAUGUAAAAUCUCACACUGUGUUGGAUAGCAGACUGCUGUAGCCUCUACAUAGCACUACAAUAUAGACGUAAAGUAUCUAUGAAUAUAACGUGUGAAAAAAACCCCCAGGAACAAAAA
This is a non-coding RNA of Taeniopygia guttata (zebra finch), 1503 nucleotides long. Lineage: Eukaryota; Metazoa; Chordata; Aves; Passeriformes; Estrildidae. The record is from RefSeq and is a predicted model, not a curated record.